Non-coding RNA from Trachemys scripta elegans, 605 nucleotides. The record is from the annotation of a RefSeq genome assembly. NCBI's taxonomy places the organism in Eukaryota, Metazoa, Chordata, Testudines, Emydidae.
CCCGGAGACACAAUCCGCAGCCCCUGGGUCUGUGCAGUGACCAGCCAGUCCCCUGAGAACUUUCCCCUCCAGCACCCGGGAAAAUGCGAUUUUUGCUCCUUGUAAUUUUCACUGUAGCGGUUUUGGAAGGUGUCCGGUCCCAGGUGCAGCUGGUGGAGUCCGGAGGGGAUGUGAAAAAGCCUGGAGACUCUCUCCGCCUCUCCUGCAAAGCCUCCGGGUUCACCUUCAGCAGCUCCUGGAUGAGCUGGGUCCGACAGGCUCCCGGGAAGGGACUUGAAUGGGUCUCUGCUAUAAGCUCCGGUGGGAGUACAUAUUACCCUGAUUCAGUGAAAGGCCGAUUCACCAUCUCCAGGGAUAAUUCCAAGAGUGAGCUGUAUCUGCAACUGACCGGCCUGAAGCCCGAGGACACCGCCCGCUAUUACUGUGCGAGACACACAGUGAGGGGAAGCCGGUCUGAGCUCAGACAAAAACCUCUCCCUGCAGUAAUCAGAGAAGCAGUUUGGUGUUGGGGGCGCCCAAGGCCUGUCAGUGAAAAUGAGAUCUGUUAUGGGAAGAGGCGAGCAACAACAAACCCUUUUAUUGUUAUUAUCAUUCCUCCUGUUUGA